This 28-nucleotide non-coding RNA is filed under the name Homo sapiens (human). Lineage: Eukaryota; Metazoa; Chordata; Mammalia; Primates; Hominidae. The record is from RNAcentral.
UUCGUUUUCAGGUCUAUCGGUUAUUUAC